CCUACGGGAGGCAGCAGUGAGGAAUAUUGGUCAAUGGGCGAGAGCCUGAACCAGCCAAGUCGCGUGAAGGAUGAAGGAACUAUGGUUUGUAAACCUCUUUUAUAUGGGAAUAAAGUGAGGAACGUGUUCCUUUUUGUAUGUACCAUAUGAAUAAGCAUUGGCUAACUCCGUGCCAGCAGCCGCGGUAAUACGGAGGAUGCGAGCGUUAUCCGGAUUUAUUGGGUUUAAAGGGUGCGUAGGUGGUGGUUUAAGUCAGCGGUGAAAGUUUGUGGCUCAACCAGAAAAUUGCCGUUGAAACUGGGGGGUGUGAGUAUGUUUGAGGCAGGGGGAAGGCGGGGGGUAGCGGGGA
This 349-nucleotide ribosomal RNA is filed under the name uncultured bacterium. Its description in RNAcentral is "partial 16S ribosomal RNA". It matches the Rfam family "Bacterial small subunit ribosomal RNA", at positions 338 to 684 of the family's 1533-position model. The record is from RNAcentral.